RNAcentral lists this ribosomal RNA (406 nucleotides) under uncultured bacterium. RNAcentral's name for it is "partial 16S ribosomal RNA". It matches the Rfam family "Bacterial small subunit ribosomal RNA", at positions 30 to 526 of the family's 1533-position model. The record is from RNAcentral.
AUUGAACGCUGGCGGCAGGCCUAACACAUGCAAGUCGAACGAGUGGCGGACGGGUGAGUAAUGUCUGGGAAACUGCCUGAUGGAGGGGGAUAACUACUGGAAACGGUAGCUAAUACCGCAUACCAUCGGAUGUGCCCAGAUGGGAUUAGCUAGUUGGUGGGGUAACGGCUCACCAAGGCGACGAUCCCUAGCUGGUCUGAGAGGAUGCCCAGCCACACUGCAACGGAGACACGGUCCAGACUCCUACGGUAGGCAGCAGUGGGGAAUAUUGUACAAUGUGGGCAAGCCUGAUGCAGCCAUGCCGCGGGUAUGAAGAAGGCCGUCGGGUUGUAAAGUACUUUCAGCGGGGAGGCGUUACUCGCAGAAGAAGCACCGGCUAACUACGUGCCAGCAGCCGCGGUAAUAC